Molecule: long non-coding RNA, 847 nt
Organism: Myotis lucifugus (little brown bat)
Lineage: Eukaryota; Metazoa; Chordata; Mammalia; Chiroptera; Vespertilionidae
Exons: 3
Source: RefSeq, a predicted model, not a curated record
GUUAAGACCUCAAGGUCGAUCCCCUUGACAGCAGCUGGUGCUCUGAGCCAUCCCAGGAGGAGAUGAACUCUUCAACCUCUGGAGAUGGUGCCUGGAACCACUGCAAGCAUCUAGCCACCAGCCCAAGGCUGACAGUAGCACUGAGGAGAACAGAGCAGAGAGGUAGAAAGAACCUGGGUGUUUGGUGAUGUCAUCAAGCUGCUAAAUGAACCAUUGCUGGAGCCAGCCUACCUUGUGAUUGCUUGUUUUGUGGGAGCCUUGCUUCAGUACGUGAUAUCAAUUGGAAUGAUGAGAUAGUUUGCAUGUCUUAGGCACCCUGAAGUGGGCCAUAGCCAGUGCUUUCAGCCACCUCCCUUUGCAGAGAGCGGCGACUUCCCCUGAGGUGAUUUGAGCAGAUGGAUGUGGGUGGCACUGGCCCAGGCCUCCAGGACCGUCACUGAGAGGGACUCGUGAAGACCAGAAAAACUCUCUGUCGACCUUGGGACUUGUCUGAGAGGGAACAGCUGCCAGGCCUGUCAAAUGUGGAGCCCGUGUUAAAGGAAUUAUGACAGGAAGAGCUCUGCCAUCAAGCAUUCUAAUAGCUGCUGCUUACUUCCAGGCAUUUCAAUCUAGAAUCCUACAACCUGUGUAACGGGCAAUGAGAACACUUGCGUUUAAUGUUGAACCCAACAAACACAGGAUUUCCCGAAGCCGGGGCCAUGGAGCACCAGGCCCAAACCUCCUCCAGAAAAGAGUGCUGAGUGGUCAAGAAAAUACUCUUCCCACCUCUAGUGCAUUUAGUAAAGUCUCAGAAUCAGGCCAUAAAGAAACAUAUUCAUUCAUUUUAAAAACCUAAUACACCCAUGUA